AAAAUAAUAAUUAGACACACCGGUAUCCAUAAUGAAUAUGGCGCGAAAAUCUGUGCUAACCUUCCUAGCUAAACCAAAUCGCGGGAAGUCCAUCUUUCCUAUCUCUGAUCCAGAUUGAUAUUUGCCUUCAUAUCCGGAUUGAUCUAGGUCUCCCCUCCAACUUUGAUAGAAAUCCCAUCCAAUCUCCUCUCGUUGAGCGGGAAGUUUGGAAGGCGGACGGACAGGGGAGCGGCGGGAAGGCGGCGACGGACUGGAGAGCGGCCGAAAGGCGGUGAUGGACCGCGAAGCGGCGGCUUUGUGGGUAGCGCAGAUGGGUGAAGCAGCAAGGCCGCAGUAGGGACUGCAAUUCACCUGCUAGCAUCCCCUGCUCCUCCGGCCGCCACUCCAGCCUGCCCGCUGGUGGCGUGCUGUUCCUCUGGCCGCCCCUCUUCUCCCUGGCCGUGUACGACGGCGAGACUGACCUUCGAGGUAACCCUCCCUCCUUCCCUUCUCCUCUCAUCCAGUCAACUUAUUUGUGGGCACCUCGAGACAUGGCUGUGGGGUGUAGGGGGAUUUGGUAGAUGACGAAGGGGAUGGAUUUCAGAGCUGUACUAUACCAACCGGGCUAUAUUCAGUUGUUUGGAAUACCCUCGCUGUUCAGACCAAUUCCAACAGUCCCUAAAGGGACACCUCCAUAGCUCCCGUGAUUGCUACACAAGUGCGUUGACAUUUGAAGCUAACCUGAGUUCCUGUACUAGCGUAUUCCUGACCCCGCAGUGGUCCCUCACCAUCGCCUCCUGCGAAGACAGAACAUCCAGCAGAGAGCAAUGAUCUAGAGCUCACAGUUGGCUUGUCCUCACAAUAAAACAUGUUCAGCAUUUCUCCUUGGAAUGUGGUAGGCUGAUUCAAGUCGUUUAAGCUAAUUUUUUUGGGAGUCGCAUUGAUGUUAUAGAUAGUUGAUAGAAUAAACACUAGAAUUUUAUUAGUGAUUUCAUGAAUAAAAGCAGGAAUGAAAGACAAAUCGCCAUCUGUAACUCGAUAUGUGCGCUUUCCAACGUGUUGUCCUCCAUCCUAGCCAUCCAAGUUGUUGCUAAUAUGUUUGAUGUGCACAGUGUUUUAGCAACUGGUAUGUGGCCAGGUGAUCAUUCUUUGUGCCCUGUUGGAAUUUAGUCCAGUGCAGUUCAGGUCAAUUGGCGCAUGCAUGUCCAUGUUUCUCUGCACUAAGUAGACAAUCAUCUCUGAAUUUAGUUUGUAUAGGGAAUGCUUGAAACAUCCAGGGAAUAUAGUGUAAGCAUUGCACUGAGUAAACCUUCAUCUCUGAAUUCAGUUUUUACAGAGAAUAUUUGAUUCAAAUAUUCAGGGAAUAUAGUUUAGGCCAGGCACAUCCACUGUUUUAGUUUUUUAUGGUUGAAGUUCCCAAAAUACUCAAGAGUUUGGGUAAACCUGGGAAUGGUUUGACAUCCAGACUAGAACCAGUGUAGUCUAUAGGACUACACACCACACAUCCAAAUGAAACCAACCCAGAUUUUUUCACCUUGAAUCUUGACCAAACCAAACUAUAUAUACAUGCUCUCCAUCCAACCUAGUCCAAACCGUUUCCAAAUUUUGCAUUGAAAUCACAGGUUCAAACUAUGGAGGAAGUCAUAUGGGAUGGCACAUCAUUAAUCUACAAAAUAGUAGAGUUGUGUGACAGCAAAAACAUCAAGCUACUCUUCUGCACGUGAUAGAAAUCCUAUUCUUGGAGAUGUCAUGUACUUUGGAAGGAUUGUGGACAUAAUUGAGUUGGACUAUUUCCAAUUUUUUUGGUGCUAUUUAAAUGUGAACGGGUUGAUGUUACUGAAGGAAAAGGUAUGCAAAUAGAUAAGUAUGGCUGUAGACUUGUAAAUUUCUCUCGUCUAAUUCACAGUGGUAAAAGGCAGAGGAUGUGCCUUUUGUAUUUGCCACCAGUUGACCAAGUGUUCUACGUGGGUGACCAUGUUUAUCAAGGAUGGUCAAUUUUUUUGAAGUUGAAGCCUGGAGAUAAUUUAGAUAUGUGUGGAGAAUGGAAUAAUGUGGAAACAGAACCUUAUCAUGUCAGCAAUUUCUUUGAGCUUUUUGAUACUGCACAUAAGAAACAAAAUGGGAUGAGAAGAGAUAUAGAGGGAGAAACUGUAGAUGCUCCUAUACUGCCAAGUGAUGACACAAUACCUCAAUAAAGGUUCGAUGGAUAAUGAAAGUCACCGAUUUGAAAAUGUGGAGCCUAGUUGAAGUGACGAAUUCAUUAGUGUUAUUUGCUAUUUUUCUAUGAUGUGCAUGGACUUUAUAAUUCGGACUACAAGAUUUGUAGGUGUGACAAGCCUAAAGUGUCAAUACUUGAUCCCCAAUACGUUCGUGUUGGUUGUUUCGUUUCCAAUAUACCAUGAGUUACAGUCUC
Molecule: long non-coding RNA, 2392 nt
Organism: Triticum aestivum (bread wheat)
Lineage: Eukaryota; Viridiplantae; Streptophyta; Magnoliopsida; Poales; Poaceae
Exons: 2
Source: RefSeq, a predicted model, not a curated record